RNAcentral lists this long non-coding RNA (354 nucleotides) under Homo sapiens (human). Its description in RNAcentral is "non-protein coding lnc-MYO1D-10:1". The record is from RNAcentral. Lineage: Eukaryota; Metazoa; Chordata; Mammalia; Primates; Hominidae.
UUGGACAAGUACAUUCAAGGGCUGAAAAAUAACAUGAAUUGUGAGGCAAGGGGCCUGGAGAGUCACAUAAAAUCCUAUCUGAGCAGCUGGUUUGAGGAUGUUGUAUGCCCAAUCCAAAGGGUUGUUCUUCUCUUUCAGGAAAAGCUUACCUUUCUGCUACAUGCUGCUUUGAGUUACACUCCUGUUGAAGUUAAAGAAUCAGAUGAAAAAACAAAGAGAGACAUUAACAGGUAAAGAACAGUUUUUUCAAAGAGAAAAGCUUUUCCACAGCAAGAUUGACAUCUGUGUUUGUAAACUGCUCCUUCCAUCCCUUCCCCACCAGCCCAGUGCAAAAUAAAUUUGUUUUCAUCCUUC